RNAcentral lists this ribosomal RNA (253 nucleotides) under uncultured bacterium. RNAcentral describes it as "partial 16S ribosomal RNA". It matches the Rfam family "Bacterial small subunit ribosomal RNA", at positions 524 to 776 of the family's 1533-position model. The record is from RNAcentral.
UACGAAGGGGGCUAGCGUUGCUCGGAAUCACUGGGCGUAAAGCGCACGUAGGCGGUCCACUAAGUCUCAUGUGAAAUCCCCCGGCUCAACCGGGGAAUUGCGCGAGAUACUGGUGGGCUAGAGAUCGGUAGGGGUGAGUGGAACUCCAGGUGGAGCGGUGAAAUGCGUAGAUAUCUGGAGGAACACCGGUGGCGAAAGCGGCUCACUGGACCGACACUGACGCUGAGGUGCGAAAGCUAGGGUAGCAAACGGG